UGAGGAACAUGACUUUCGGCGGGGGAUAGCCGGCCCAACGGCCGGGUAAUACCGCGUACGACCACAUGGGGACAUCCCUGAGUGGUGAAAGCAGCAAUGCGCCGAUGGAGUGCCUCGCGGCCUAUCAGCUAGUUGGUGAGGUAACGGCUCACCAAGGCAACGACGGGUAGCUGGUCUGAGAGGAUGGCCAGCCACAUUGGGACUGAGACACGGCCCAGACCUCUACGGGAGG
This 232-nucleotide ribosomal RNA is filed under the name uncultured bacterium. RNAcentral's name for it is "partial 16S ribosomal RNA". It matches the Rfam family "Bacterial small subunit ribosomal RNA", at positions 118 to 347 of the family's 1533-position model. The record is from RNAcentral.